AGUAACGCGUGGGUAACCUGCCCUUUUGUGGGGAACAACUUCGAGAAAUCGGAGCUAAUACCGCAUAAUAAUAGAGGAUCGCAUGAUUCUUUAAGGAAAGAUGGCCUCUGAAGAUGCUAUCGCAAAGGGAUGGACCCGCGUCUGAUUAGCUAGUUGGAAGGGUAACGGCCUACCAAGGCAACGAUCAGUAGCCGGCCUGAGAGGGUGAACGGCCACAUUGGGACUGAGACACGGCCCAAACUCCUACGGGAGGCAGCAG
Molecule: ribosomal RNA, 259 nt
Filed under: uncultured bacterium
Lineage: Bacteria
Description: partial 16S ribosomal RNA
Rfam family: Bacterial small subunit ribosomal RNA
Source: RNAcentral